AUACCUUCUCGGCCUCCAGGCUAAGAUCAAGUGUAGUACCUGUUCUAAUCAAUGUGAAAACUGGUUUUCGCCUUUUGGCGAGUUUUUUCACGCGCAUUUUUGGGGCAAUCGCCUGCGGCUAGCUUGCUAAGCGGCGGACGAACGGUCUCUGGGGGCGUUCACCUUUCCCCCGCGAGGCCAACUACA
This 186-nucleotide small nuclear RNA is filed under the name Phytophthora infestans (potato late blight agent). RNAcentral describes it as "U2 spliceosomal RNA". It matches the Rfam family "U2 spliceosomal RNA". From Rfam's summary of the family: U2 is a small nuclear RNA (snRNA) component of the spliceosome (involved in pre-mRNA splicing). Complementary binding between U2 snRNA (in an area lying towards the 5' end but 3' to hairpin I) and the branchpoint sequence (BPS) of the intron results the bulging out of an unpaired adenosine, on the BPS, which initiates a nucleophilic attack at the intronic 5' splice site, thus starting the first of two transesterification reactions that mediate splicing. The record is from Rfam by way of RNAcentral. Lineage: Eukaryota; Oomycota; Peronosporomycetes; Peronosporales; Peronosporaceae. RNAcentral also lists the same sequence under 1 other name.